Non-coding RNA from Biomphalaria pfeifferi, 1276 nucleotides. NCBI's taxonomy places the organism in Eukaryota, Metazoa, Mollusca, Gastropoda, Planorbidae. The record is from the annotation of a GenBank genome assembly.
AAAUAUUAUAAAACCUUUAACAUGAGACGCGAAGAGCUAAUAAUAUAAUUGUCUAAAUUUCGGUAAUAAUGUGAAUAAUAAAAAAAUGUUCACUGCUCAAAUGACAACAGCUGGAAUUCAACUGAUUUUAUUGUCCCUUGAAAACAAAAAGAUUGUCUGACGUCAUGACCUGUCACGUGGCUACGAGCUAUUGGUCUGAACUGCCCACAGGUUACGUCGUCACAGUCAGUGCCCGGGCUCUCUAUAAUGAUAGGUCUAGCAUCUUGACUAUCAUGUCAGCAUAUGACGUCUCAUAAAGGCGAACCCUGCAGUUUGAGAAACGCUGAUAUAGAAAAUAACAUUUGCAAUGAAGUGUUUCUAGUCAAGCCAGAGGCCGAGGAAAGCUAUCACGUGACUGCCACUAGAAACCGGACACUCACACAGCGCCGAAUUACUGGACGUGUCGAACCGGUCAACAGCGUUGUCUCGGGGAUUGCACUGUAGUGAAUUCUGUGCCCUAAUGGCUCUCCGGUGACCUCGUGGACUGAAAGUGGACGAAACAUGACCCUCCUCUGCAAUAUCACCGUGUCCUGAAGUCAUCCAUAAAGUCAAGAAGAUGAGAACACAAAUAGAUCAAGAUACCGUAUGAUAAGUAUGUGGACACAAAUAGAUCAAGAUACCGUAUGAUAAGUAGCUUAGUUCUAAUACAGCUAGCAUAUGUUGACCAAGAAAAAACGCAGUUUUAUGACAUGUAUGCCGUAUAUGCUAAAGUGCUUUAGUUUGUCUAGAAAUAAGUUGUACUUAUGUAAAUGAGUAGUGAACCACAAUGAAAAUGUGUGCCACCAACAUCUCUGUAUAUAUAAUUCUGUACGUCGCCCAACCCGGGCAUGCUACACUGCCUCAUAGUGGCGCCUGGGUGAAAACGAUCGUAGGAGGAAACGAUUAGGCUAAAGGGUAGGAAAACAAGACUCCCGUGGGGGUGCCUCAUUGCACUGCGCGGAGUUGUAAAAAAGCUCCCACAACCAUUUCACAAUCCAGGCGCUGUUCCUCAAGGGGCCAUUACAUUAUAAAUGGCGUGUCCCGCACGGUUAGCCUGGUAUAGAAAAGAAAAAUGGCGAGGAUCUUAGUAGAUCUAUAGGCGGCCUCUUGCCGCGAGUCUGAUCCAUCCGCCAGACAAAACAGUGUACACUGUUUUCAUACAGGCCAGUGAGAGGGAGCUCUUGUUCUUUUUUGCUGGCCUAGAGUUCCAAGAGCUGAAGGCUCAACUCUACCUGACAGUUUAAGAAGAAGAAGAAGA